GCACCGUCGAGGAGUCCCACAAUAGGACGAAACGGCCGUCCAGUGC
This 46-nucleotide non-coding RNA is filed under the name Schistosoma mattheei. The record is from RNAcentral. Lineage: Eukaryota; Metazoa; Platyhelminthes; Trematoda; Strigeidida; Schistosomatidae.